CUCAAGUCGACGGAUUCGUCAUUUGUUUUCAGUGUCGCGGGAAGAAUCUACUUAUCUAGACAAAAUGAAAUUAGUCUUUCUAUUCGCCUUUGUAGCUCUGUGCAUGCAGAUAUGUUCAGUAUCUUGCGAUGUCACUCAGAUACUCAACGGUGUAACUACAUCAACAACCACUCCUAAGCCGUGGGGUAAAAAGAUUAAAAAUGGCUUGGAUAACUUUUUCCGAGGCGCUGCCGUGGUUGGAGUGAUACAAGGAGCCUUCCAAGGCAGUAAGGCCCAUAAGAUGAAGCCCCAUCAUGAUGCACCUAAAAUCUGAAAUUUAAGCUCGUUCCUAUUUCUCAAUGAAAAUCAAAUUUACUUCAUUUGGGUUAGACAUUUUACCAAAGCUUACUAAGUAGGAUGUAAACAUAACAUGAAAGAUUUUAAAUAAAUAAUAAGUUUAAGUUUA
This is a long non-coding RNA of Plodia interpunctella (Indianmeal moth), 445 nucleotides long. RefSeq lists it as uncharacterized. The record is from RefSeq and is a predicted model, not a curated record. NCBI's taxonomy places the organism in Eukaryota, Metazoa, Arthropoda, Insecta, Lepidoptera, Pyralidae. The transcript has 2 exons.